GGCCAACAGACAGGACCCUCUCCAGUGGUGUUUGUGUCACCAGAGAGCUGUACUGUAGUGAGGGGGUGGAGUACUACAGUCCCUCUAGACUGACCUGUCUCUCAUGUACGUGGGGCUAACCGGACCACUGCAGAAGAUGGGUUGACGUGCACAUGCUCGCCUGGUUUUAUUCAGAUCACAGGAUUGCACGGAAUGUGCCAGCCCAACAGUAUCGUCUCGUGAUGGUCUGUUCUGUCUGUCGUGUGUGGAUGGCUACAACUCAGCCACUGGACAAUGCAACACAUGCCCUGGGGGGAGAUCACACAUCUUGGUUGACACACCCUGAUCCUGCUGGUUCUCCCUGCAAUCGUGAGUGUGUAGAGUGUCCUGUAGGGACCUGGGCGACUGUGGGGGGUCUCCAGUGUACCCCUGUGGAGUGGGAGACUGCUCUCAGUGUAUCUCAGAGACUCGGGACAAAGUGGGUGUGGUGUCAGCAGUGGCCCCCCCUUUAUCCCGCCACCUGGUUGCUACACACCUAAGAACCUUCAUGAGAGAGCUGCUCAUUUUGCAGGCACCGUGGCUUUUAUGGGGCCGACAGUCAAGAGAACCUGACCAAUCAGAUCUCAGAUCUACAGUCACUGCUCACCAAGGUUCAGGGCACAUUCCAAAGCAACCUGUCUACAAUCCAGUCAGAGUUCAGCGGAUUAGAAUCAAAACUGAAGAUCUAGCUAGAAUUGAUUUCAGAAAUAAUUAUAUCUGUAUGACUCUGUCACACUCAUUUGAUCUCUCGAUCUCAUAACUAAAAAACUGUACACAACAGGAAUAAAAUAAGAUGCGUCAUGCAAUGUAUAACGCAUCAGUUACUCACUAUAUUAUAUAUACUGCUGUUAUCUAAUAUACUUCAAUUCAGAGUAUUAGUUCAUGCUUUCAGACUUGGCAGCACGAAUCACUUUAAGCCUCUUCACCAGCUCAUCCCUUGUCUUGCGGAGAUCAUCUGUAUCAGUGCCAACAGUGCCUUCAAGAUGGCUCUCGAUCACAGCUAGUUGGUUUUCAAUCAGCUUGGUAUAGUUGCGAGCCGCACCCAAUGACUCAAAUUCUGCGAUAUCCUUAGAAAGCUUUACCGACAAUUGCUUCCUUGUUGCUAUAGAUUUCUGCAAUUCCUGUUCAAGAUUGUUGUACAGCAUUUUAGCUCGCUCCUCGUCGCUUUCUGCUUUUUUAAAUUUGUCUUUCAUAUCGUCAGCAAUAA
Molecule: RNA transcript, 1225 nt
Organism: Halichondria panicea
Lineage: Eukaryota; Metazoa; Porifera; Demospongiae; Suberitida; Halichondriidae
Exons: 7
Source: RefSeq, a predicted model, not a curated record